This 1180-nucleotide ribosomal RNA is filed under the name Salmonella enterica subsp. enterica. RNAcentral's name for it is "bacterial LSU rRNA". It matches the Rfam family "Bacterial large subunit ribosomal RNA", at positions 1 to 1211 of the family's 2925-position model. Lineage: Bacteria; Pseudomonadati; Pseudomonadota; Gammaproteobacteria; Enterobacterales; Enterobacteriaceae. The record is from RNAcentral.
GGGUUGUGAGGUUAAGCGACUAAGCGUACACGGUGGAUGCCCUGGCAGUCAGAGGCGAUGAAGGACGUGCUAAUCUGCGAUAAGCGCCGGUAAGGUGAUAUGAACCGUUAUAACCGGCGAUUUCCGAAUGGGGAAACCCAGUGUGACUCGUCACACUAUCAUUAACUGAAUCCAUAGGUUAAUGAGGCGAACCGGGGGAACUGAAACAUCUAAGUACCCCGAGGAAAAGAAAUCAACCGAGAUUCCCCCAGUAGCGGCGAGCGAACGGGGAGGAGCCCAGAGCCUGAAUCAGCAUGUGUGUUAGUGGAAGCGUCUGGAAAGGCGCGCGAUACAGGGUGACAGCCCCGUACACAAAAGCGCAUGUGCUGUGAGCUCGAUGAGUAGGGCGGGACACGUGGUAUCCUGUCUGAAUAUGGGGGGACCAUCCUCCAAGGCUAAAUACUCCUGACUGACCGAUAGUGAACCAGUACCGUGAGGGAAAGGCGAAAAGAACCCCGGCGAGGGGAGUGAAAAAGAACCUGAAACCGUGUACGUACAAGCAGUGGGAGCACAGGUUUACCUGUGUGACUGCGUACCUUUUGUAUAAUGGGUCAGCGACUUAUAUUCUGUAGCAAGGUUAACCGAAUAGGGGAGCCGCAGGGAAACCGAGUCUUAACCGGGCGUUAAGUUGCAGGGUAUAGACCCGAAACCCGGUGAUCUAGCCAUGGGCAGGUUGAAGGUUGGGUAACACUAACUGGAGGACCGAACCGACUAAUGUUGAAAAAUUAGCGGAUGACCUGUGGCUGGGGGUGAAAGGCCAAUCAAACCGGGAGAUAGCUGGUUCUCCCCGAAAGCUAUUUAGGUAGCGCCUCGUGAAUUCAUCUCCGGGGGUAGAGCACUGUUUCGGCUAGGGGGCCAUCCCGGCUUACCAACCCGAUGCAAACUGCGAAUACCGGAGAAUGUUAUCACGGGAGACACACGGCGGGUGCUAACGUCCGUCGUGAAGAGGGAAACAACCCAGACCGCCAGCUAAGGUCCCAAAGUCAUGGUUAAGUGGGAAACGAUGUGGGAAGGCCCAGACAGCCAGGAUGUUGGCUUAGAAGCAGCCAUCAUUUAAAGAAAGCGUAAUAGCUCACUGGUCGAGUCGGCCUGCGCGGAAGAUGUAACGGGGCUAAACCAUGCACCGAAGCUGCGGCAGCGA